GAACAUGGGGGGACCACCCUCCAAGCCUAAGUACUCCUCAGCGACCGAUAGCGAACCAGUACCGUGAGGGAAAGGUGAAAAGCACCCCGACGAGGGGAGUGAAACAGCACCUGAAACCGGAUGCUUACAAACAGUGGGAGCCCAAGGUUCGUCCUGGGUGACCGCGUACCUUUUGUAUAAUGGGUCAGCGACUUAAAGUUACGAGCGAGCUUAAGCCGAUAGGUGGAGGCGCAGCGAAAGCGAGUCUGAACAGGGCGUUCAGUUCGUGGCUUUAGACCCGAAACCGAGUGAUCUAGCCAUGUGCAGGAUGAAGGUGGGGUAACACCCACUGGAGGUCCGAACCAGUGCCCGUUGAAAAGGUCUUGGAUGACGUGUGGCUAGGGGUGAAAGGCCAAUCAAACUCGGAAAUAGCUGGUUCUCCGCGAAAGCUAUUUAGGUAGCGCCUCGCGUGAAUACCUCACGGGGUAGAGCACUGGAUGGGCUAGGGCCGCCCACAGCGGUACCAAACCCAACCAAACUCCGAAUACGUGAGAGUACUGCGCGGGAGACACACGGCGGGUGCUAACGUCCGUCGUGGAGAGGGAAACAACCCUGACCGACAGCUAAGGCCCCCAAUUCGUGGCUAAGUGGGAAAGGAUGUGGGACUCCCAAAACAACCAGGAGGUUGGCUUAGAAGCAGCCAUCCUUUAAAGAAAGCGUAACAGCUCACUGGUCU
This 715-nucleotide ribosomal RNA is filed under the name Xanthomonas sontii. Its description in RNAcentral is "partial 23S ribosomal RNA". It matches the Rfam family "Bacterial large subunit ribosomal RNA", at positions 440 to 1151 of the family's 2925-position model. Lineage: Bacteria; Pseudomonadati; Pseudomonadota; Gammaproteobacteria; Lysobacterales; Lysobacteraceae. The record is from RNAcentral.